UUUCCGUAGGUGAACCUGCGGAGGGAUCAUUACCGAGCUAAUGCUCUAUGGGUUCGACCUCCCACCCGAGGUUAUUAUUACUUUGUUGCUUUGGCGGGCCGUUAGACUCCGGCCCGACUACCGGCCCCCGUUGGCCCGCGCCCGCCAGAGGACCCAAAACCCUGAAUAUUAGUGUCGACUGAGUGCUAUAUAAUAGUUAAAAUUUUCAUCAACGGAACUGUUGGCUCUGUCAUCGAUGAAGAACGCAACAGAUCAGAAGGGCACAGGUCAGAACUCCAG
This 279-nucleotide unclassified non-coding RNA is filed under the name plant metagenome. RNAcentral describes it as "partial contains small subunit ribosomal RNA, internal transcribed spacer 1, and 5.8S ribosomal RNA". The record is from RNAcentral.